Molecule: ribosomal RNA, 484 nt
Filed under: uncultured bacterium
Lineage: Bacteria
Description: partial 16S ribosomal RNA
Rfam family: Bacterial small subunit ribosomal RNA
Source: RNAcentral
AUUGAACGCUGGCGGCAGGCCUAACACAUGCAAGUCGAGCGGAUGAAGGGAGCUUGCUCCUGGAUUCAGCGGCGGACGGGUGAGUAAUGCCUAGGAAUCUGCCUGGUAGUGGGGGAUAACGUCCGGAAACGGGCGCUAAUACCGCAUACGUCCUGAGGGAGAAAGUGGGGGAUCUUCGGACCUCACGCUAUCAGGUGAGCCUAGGUCGGAUUAGCUAGUUGGUGGGGUAAAGGCCUACCAAGGCGACGAUCCGUAACUGGUCUGAGAGGAUGAUCAGUCACACUGGAACUGAGACACGGUCCAGAGUCCUACGGGAGGCAGCAGUGGGGAAUAUUGGACAAUGGGCGAAAGCCUGAUCCAGCCAUGCCGCGUGUGUGAAGAAGGUCUUCGGAUUGUAAAGCACUUUAAGUUGGGAGGAAGGGCAGUAAGUUAAUACCUUGCUGUUUUGACGUUACCAACAGAAUAAGCACCGGCUAACUUCGUG